GAGGAGGUAAAGUGGUGGAAGAAGAUGAGGAGAAGACUCUCUUAACUCUUUUUUCUCUCUUCUCACAAAAUCCUAGACUGAACCCUAGGGUACCCUCGAAAGCUCAUGCCUAAGAGGAAUUGUUUUCCUCCAUUUCAUGCACAGAAGACCCACCCCACUCUUUGUUUCAUGCCCCACUCUUAGAAGUGUUUUCAUGGUAAAAGGAUCGAUCUUUUGUCACACAAAAUGGAGGUCCUUUUAAGGUUGCAAUGG
This 252-nucleotide long non-coding RNA is filed under the name Elaeis guineensis (African oil palm). RNAcentral describes it as "long non-coding RNA (EGUI_LNC039506)". The record is from RNAcentral. Lineage: Eukaryota; Viridiplantae; Streptophyta; Magnoliopsida; Arecales; Arecaceae.